UACGUAGGGGGCAAGCGUUGUCCGGAAUUAUUGGGCUUAAAGCGCGUGUAGGCGGUCCGGUAAGUCGGUUGUGAAAGUCCAGGGCUCAACCCUGGGAUGCCGACCGAUACUGUCGGACUAGAGUUCGGAAGAGGCGAGUGGAAUUCCCGGUGUAGCGGUGAAAUGCGCAGAUAUCGGGAGGAACACCAAUGGCGAAGGCAGCUCGCUGGGACGUUACUGACGCUGAGGAGCGAAAGCGUGGGGAGCGAACAGG
This 253-nucleotide ribosomal RNA is filed under the name uncultured bacterium. Its description in RNAcentral is "partial 16S ribosomal RNA". It matches the Rfam family "Bacterial small subunit ribosomal RNA", at positions 524 to 776 of the family's 1533-position model. The record is from RNAcentral.